RNAcentral lists this ribosomal RNA (254 nucleotides) under uncultured bacterium. Its description in RNAcentral is "partial 16S ribosomal RNA". It matches the Rfam family "Bacterial small subunit ribosomal RNA", at positions 524 to 776 of the family's 1533-position model. The record is from RNAcentral.
UACAUGUGGGGCAAGCGUUUGUUCGGAAUUACUGGGCAUAAAGGGUGCGUAGGCGGCAUGUUAAGUCAGUGGUGAAAUCCGGUGGCCCAACCAUCGAACUGCCAUUGAUACUGGCGUGCUUGAGUGCGUGAGGGGUGACCGGAACGAGUGGUGUAGCGGUGAAAUGCGUAGAUAUCACUCGGAAGGCCAACGGCGAAGGCAGGUCACUGGUGCGCAACUGACGCUGAGGAGCGAAAGCGUGGGGAGCGAACAGG